Molecule: ribosomal RNA, 489 nt
Filed under: uncultured bacterium
Lineage: Bacteria
Description: partial 16S ribosomal RNA
Rfam family: Bacterial small subunit ribosomal RNA
Source: RNAcentral
AUUGAACGCUGGCGGCAGGCCUAACACAUGCAAGUCGAACGGUAACAGAAAGCAGCUUGCUGCUUUGCUGACGAGUGGCGGACGGGUGAGUAAUGUCUGGGAAACUGCCUGAUGGAGGGGGAUAACUACUGGAAACGGUAGCUAAUACCGCAUAACGUCGCAAGACCAAAGAGGGGGACCUUCGGGCCUCUUGCCAUCGGAUGUGCCCAGAUGGGAUUAGCUAGUAGGUGGGGUAACGGCUCACCUAGGCGACGAUCCCUAGCUGGUCUGAGAGGAUGACCAGCCACACUGGAACUGGGACACGGCCCAGACUCCUACGGGAGGCGGCAGUGGGAAAUAUUGCACAAUGGGCGCAAGCCUGAUGCAGCCAUGCCGCGUGUAUGAAGAAGGCCUUCGGGUUGUAAAGUACUUUCAGCGGGAGGAAGGGAGUAAAGUUAAUACCUUUGCUCAUUGACGUUACCCGCAGAAGAAGCACCGGCUAACUCCGUG